Molecule: long non-coding RNA, 962 nt
Filed under: Mus spicilegus (steppe mouse)
Lineage: Eukaryota; Metazoa; Chordata; Mammalia; Rodentia; Muridae
Description: lncRNA (ENSMSIG00000006704.1)
Source: RNAcentral
CCGCCGCCGCCGCCGCGGGCCCCGGGCCCCGCCGUCGCCGCCGCGCCUGCCGCCUCCUUCCCCCGUCGCCUCGCCCUCUUCCCCCCGCCGCCGCCGCCGCCGCCGCCGCCGCGAACCAACAGCCGCCACACUCAACAGCCGGCCGCGUCUACGACAGCAGCACGGGCAGAAGCCACCCAGGCCGCCGAGGACCCCGCGCUAUAUAAGGCAAGGCCCCGCCGCGGGCUGCCCGCGGAGAACGCCUGACUGACCCACGCUCCGCCGGGGCCGCGGGCCGCCGCCAGGGGGCGCCGUGGCCGCCCGAGCACACGCGCCACCCAGACGCCCGCGGGGCGCGCCGCCGACUUCGGGAAACGGGGAGCGGGCCUCGGCUCUCCGCGUGUGCGGCGCCCUAGCGGAACCCGGCCCCGGUGCGGUCUCAAGGCUCGCACGGGGCGAGCGACAGGUGCGCGCGCACCUGCUGGGCGCGUCCGCGCUUUUCAAUCCCAGAGCGCGCGCCGCCGCCGGGUGAUUUAAACUUUCCCUGCGCCAGGCUCCGCUUCCCUCCCUUGAAGCCCAGGGCUACCUUUCUGUCUGCAUCGGAGCCCCACCGCACUCUGCGACAUAGGUCCCCAAGACAAUACAGCAAGGAGCUCCUUGCCAAAUGCCAGUGCCUCAAUACUGAACAUAGCCUAUAAAAAGGUGAGAAAUGAACUUUUUUUUCCAUAACUUAUCCUGAUAUAAACAGACUAUGGUAACUCAAAAUACUCUAAAAUACCAUAUUGUCUAUAAAACAAGUUUUUAUAUGAUUACCACUCAAAUGUAGCAUCUAAUACAUUUAUAAAUAUAAAUGCUUUUUCUCUUUCAGUACCAGCAAGUGCCUUUGUCUUCAAAGAAAUGCUUUUCUUUCCAUCGUUUAAUCUAUGUUCUCCUAUGAGGAAUCCCAAGAAUAGGGUAAAAGGUACAAUUUAAAUAAACAGAGA